RNAcentral lists this long non-coding RNA (1966 nucleotides) under Triticum aestivum (bread wheat). RNAcentral describes it as "long non-coding RNA (TAES_LNC004556)". Lineage: Eukaryota; Viridiplantae; Streptophyta; Magnoliopsida; Poales; Poaceae. The record is from RNAcentral.
GAGGGGCACGCACAUCCAUGGGAUGGGACGCUGCCAUGGAGAUGGAACUCCUUCUCCACACCACGUAGAGGCCCCAUGGAGCCCCCCUCCUUCUCCGGUGACUCUUCUCAGGCCCGACCCCCUACCUCCCCCCUCUCUUGUACUUUGAGCUGUACCAGCUCUGUUUUAGAUUCUGAAGGCCUCUGUACUUGAAUCUGAAACAUGGUUAAUCCCUUCAGGGUAUAUAUGGCAAGUUAGGUGGUUGCUUCAGUCUGAGGUUAAUCCCUUUAUUGGCCGUUGUUUAGGGUUGAUUAGAUUAGCCUUUUCCAAGGAAAUCUGUUAUAUAUUUUUGACAGCUACGGAUAUGCUUUUCUAAUUGUAGUGUGACAGCUUUAACCGAAGUCUGUUUAGUUCACUCAGCCUUCUAUUCAUUGAUUUUGUAUAUGGUUCUUGAAAGUAGAGUCUGCUAAGCAUUUGAGAGUGUUCUAGUUUUCUUAAUCAUUGCGACUAUGCGCUCUGGGUUAAAAUUCUAAAUUUUCUCUUUAUAGGAGCUUCAGAAGGGUUGCUCACCAACGAACUAGAAGAUUGUUUUGUCCUGGGCAUUGACAUGAUUAAGGAAGAAUUUGCUUAUUCCUGGAUGUGCUAUGCAGAUCAAAGGUGAGCUCUUCCUAUUUUCUUUCUUCAAUCUUAGCCGAAGAUUUAUCUCCGGUUUCCUUGCAUUUGUCAUGCUAGUUCUUUGUGUAGAUGUGCCAGCUAGCUUAGAAUCUGUAUCAUCAUCUUUGUCUUUGAGUAGAACUGAACUGGGAUUUGCUUUUUGCAUCUUAACUAUGUGUCCUUUGAUGUGCUUUACUCUAUAGAUUUAUUACCCUGAACUAAUGAAAGGACUUCUAGAGAAAUUAUUGAUUGCUAGGGCCUCGAUUUAUCAACUAUUCUAUAUUUUUACAAACUAAAGGCCAAAUCAUUCCUCUUUGGGAUGAAACAGAUCAUAUAUGUGGUGUCGAAAAAGACCGUAGUCUGAUCAUACAAGACCUUAUUGAUUGUUUAUCCUACUUGCAUGGUCUGAUCUAUCCGAGGGGCAACCAAGACCAGGAGAGAACAAUGUUUCGGUUGUUUCGGCUACUUCCUUUUCAGUGCUUAUUAUUUUGCAUUGCAUGAUCUGCAGUUUAAGGUAUACAAAUAGUCAUCCAUGGUCCAGGUGAGGUGCUUCUUUUGUUGGUUAGCUCAUGCUUGCAUUUUGGUGCUUGGAUUGUGAUCCUUUGUUCUAUGCAAAAAUCUCGAGGUAAGCGUUGGUUUCAGGCUCGGGCUACCUGGUUGUAGGGCUGGUGUUGGUUGUUUGAUUUGUUGAGAUGCUUAUUCGCUUGUUAUCCAGUUGCAACUUGGCUUUGAAAGUCGCGGUCUAUUUCCUUUCAAGGUGUUGCGAGGGUUGGCUACUGUAGGGAGUCUUCCUAUGUUGCCUGCCUAUAUUGUUUGCACUGUUUUUUUUGUUUCUUCAGGCAUGCCACUACAGAUUGAUUUGAUGAUUAAAGCAUGUAUCGGUGAUGUAGUCCUAUUGUGAAGAUGUUUAUUGUUUCAUUUUUGUAAUGUAGGAAUGUAUAUCCUUUCAAGUUCACUGAUGCGGUCACCACUACAACACACGUCCCUCCAAGGACCAAGGGUGGGCAUGAUCUUCUACAAGGUUGUUGUCUGUGACUAUUAGGACGGGAUCAACUUUGCGGUGUCCCCAUUGCUACAAGUCAAGCUAAUAGAGCUAAAUGGGUAUCCAAUUUUAGAAAGCACCCUUAAGAAACAUGCACACAUGUCUUUAGAUCCUAUGGAGCAUUCCUAAUAAUGACCAUCUAUUUAACUAUCUUGGAUCAUUACCAUUACAAAAUGCAGCAUGGCAUUCAUAAUGUUCAGUUAUUCAUAAAUGUGGCAUUUAAUUCUUCUCCUAGCAAGAUAUUUAAGCAUGUUGCAUAUACCAAUCUGUUGAUAAUUCAAUUAUUGAUUC